This is a long non-coding RNA of Suricata suricatta (meerkat), 881 nucleotides long. RefSeq lists it as uncharacterized. The record is from RefSeq and is a predicted model, not a curated record. Lineage: Eukaryota; Metazoa; Chordata; Mammalia; Carnivora; Herpestidae. The transcript is spliced from 3 exons.
AGCUACGUGCACGGAGCCCCGCCUGCACAACCACACUCGGUGAUGGUAAAUGAAGACGCAGCUCCAUCAUUUUCCCCCAUCCUCAUUAUUUUCACCUGGACACCACACAGAAGCGUUUGUGUGUGAUGUUCAACACUAGGAAACUGAAAAACAUCGCCUAAUUGCAUGGCGAGCAGUCACGACAGCGCGCAGCCCAUGGGGUCAGGACCGGCCGUCCAGUAGUGUAAACUGUCCUCCGUGCCACGAGCAUUUCCUCCCCAAAGAGAAACUGUUAAAACCUUAAUUGAGAGGUCAGCGGUCUCAGGACAGGCAGGAGAUAAGCUGCUAGCUAUGUGAAGUCAUGUCAACUUUGAUCGGCCAGGACUUUUGGCAUCGAAAGAAAGCCCACGAUGAGUCAGAGACCCUCUAAUCUUCUCUGAGAUAAGCUGAAGCUGUUGGGCUGGGGUCGACGGUCCAGGGCAGGGAAAGGCUUUUCUCUGUGCGCUGUGGCCACACUUAUGAGUGAAUCCAUUUUAGCCUGACAUCCCUGCCAACGUCUGUAACCACGCUCCCAAAUGGGGAGGUGACCUGUUCGAGGGGGGCUUGUUCCAAGGAAGAGUCUACAGAGGUUGCCACCAUCACGUUCUCAGGGACUGCCUUGGAAGAUGUCCAGUGAAUGGAUCAGCAGAGAGAGCUGGUCAGAACACUACAAGACCGGAAGUGAAGGAGGGAGGGAGGGAGAGAAAGAGGGAAGAGAAGGAAUUGAAGGAUUGAGUUAUUCUGACUCUCUGUGCCAUGCCAAGUGUAUGAAAAUAGAAACAAUGUUACAUUGAAAAGACAUGUCAAAAUUAAAAAGCAAUGCAGGAUGGAGGGGAGGGAGGUCUCAAGACUUUCAAAAUGUA